CCUACCUGGUUGAUCCUGCCAGUAGUCAUAUGCUUGUUUCAAAGACUAAGCCAUGCAUGUCUAAGUCCAAGCUGUGUGUCGUGGGUGAAAGCUUGCACACACGGCGAAACCGCGGACGGCUCAUUAAAUCAGUCGUGGUCCAAAUGGGCUAGUGUUAUCUUACUUGGAUAACUGUGGUAAUUCCAGAGCUAAUACAUGCAACUGUAAGUCCGAGCGGCUUGUGUGGUAACACACUCGCUGCGACGACUGCUUUUAUUAGACCAAACCGCUGAGAGAUGCGCACAUGUGUGUGUGUCUCGUAGACUCGUGUUAUGGUGACUCUGAAUAACACCUCAUGACAAGCGCACGUAUCCAUUUAUUUGGGACGGCGCUGCCACUUUCGAGUGUCUGCCUUAUCAGCUAUGAAUCGUUCGUUAUGUGCGACCGAUGGCUUUGACGGGUAACGGGGAAUCAGGGUUCGAUUCCGGAGAGGCAGCCUGAGAAACGGCUACCACGUCCAAGGACGGCAGCAGGCACGCAAAUUACCCAAUCCCAGCAACUGGGGGAGGUAGUGACGAAAUCUAACGAUGCGGGCGCCCCUUCUGGGCCCCCGCAAUCGGAAUGAGCGUUUUUUUCUAAACAUACCGUUGAGAACCUACUGAAGGGCAAGUCUGGUGCCAGCAGCCGCGGUAAUUCCAGCUUCAGCAGCAUCUACUAAAGUUGCUGCGGUUAAAAGGCUCGCAGUUGAAUGUCAGUAUCAAGUGCAGCGAUGGUGGACGUUGGAGUGUGGGUUAGUUUGUUGGCGUUAGUGCUUGGCUUCACGGCUCUGUGCAACCUCGGCUUCUGCUCGCUUUAACUCCCGUCCGUAACAAGCCUCCUCACUUGCUUACAAAAUGGAAUCUAAUGGUGGAAGUGUUUUAUACGGUUCAUUCGCGAGCUCUCGCGCGUGCUCGCUUUUACGUGGGUGCGUCUUGGGUGAGUGGGUGUGACUGUGUCUCUGUAAGCUGGAUUUCAAUGUCACCUUGAGUAAAUCAGAGUGCUCAAAGCAGUCGUAAAGGAUGUGCGGCGUUAACGCGUCGUACGUUCUGUGAUGAAUGUCUAUUAUGACAGACAGUCUUGAUUUUGCAUGGUAUGUCGAAAGACGCCGUAUUUCCUGUUGGUAACGAGUCUGGUGCGGGCUUGCAUCCAGGGGCCUCUCUCUCUAUCUCUUCGCGGAGUAAGGGCAGUGCGCCUUUGAGUGUGACACACGAGACCAACAGGUGCGGAAUGAUUAAAAGGUUCGGCCGAGGGCAUCGGUAUUGCGAGGCGAGAGGUGAAAUUCUAUGACCCCCGCAAGACCUCCUGAAGCGAAAGCGUCUGCCAAGGACGUUUUCAUUAAUCAUGAACGAAAGUUAGAGGAUCGAAGGCGAUCGGAUACCGCCCUAGUUCUAACCCUAAACGAUGCCAACCAUCAAUCCGCGCGUAGCACCCUUUCUAACGGGCUCGGCGGGCAGCUCCCCAUUCACGGGAAACCAGAGUCUCUGGGUUCCGGGGGGAGUCUGGUUGCAAAGCUGAAACUUAAAGGAAUUGACGGAAAGGCACCACCAGGCGUGGACUGCGGCUUAGUUUGACUCAACACGGGCCAUCUCACCAGGCCAGCACUCUUGUACGAUUGACAGAUUGAGAGUUCUUUCUCGAUUCAGUGGAUGGUGGUGCAUGGCCGUUCUUAGUUGGUGGAGUGAUCUGUCUGGUUAAUUCCGAUAACGAACGAGACUCUCCCCUGCUAAAUAGUCGGUUGGAUUUUGCGUUCGAGGGUGUCGUGUGACUUGUGUGUUUUGUGUUGGUGUGCAUUUAUAUGUGCGCUCGCGCGGCUCCUCGUUGCACCUCCCUCCAAGUCCGCCGCUUACUUACACAAGUGGAGUGUAACAGCGAAGCUAUAUGAGUAAAACUCUUCUUAGAGGGAUUCACGGUUCCGAAGCCGUAAGAAACUGAGAGCAAUAACAGGUCUGUGAUGCCCUUAGAUGUUCUGGGCCGCACGCGCGCUACAAUGCCGGGCACAGCAGGUAUCUAUCCUUCUCCGAGAGGAGUGGGUAACCCUCUGAAAGCCCUUGAAACAAUUUACCAGAGUAGGGUCAUCACUUCGCGUGUUGUCUCUGCUUCCCUGGCUUGCUUGGGCCUGUGGCUUGCAAUUUUUUCACACAAACGAGGAAUGCCUAGUAGCGGCGGAUCACGGAGUUCGCUGUGACUCAGUUCCUGCCCUUUGUACACACCGCCCGUCGCUACUACCGAUUGGGUGUACCAGUGAGAUCCUUGGACUGGCGAGCCUUGUGCUUUAGCAAUAGAGUGCAAGUGUGUACGACGGAAAGAGGUUCGAACUGGUGCACUUAGAGGAAGUAAAAGUCGUAACAAGGUUUCCGUAGUGAACCUGCGGAAGGAUCAUUA
This 2400-nucleotide ribosomal RNA is filed under the name Iphimediella georgei. Its description in RNAcentral is "18S ribosomal RNA". It matches the Rfam family "Eukaryotic small subunit ribosomal RNA". Lineage: Eukaryota; Metazoa; Arthropoda; Malacostraca; Amphipoda; Iphimediidae. The record is from RNAcentral.